UAAGGAAAUUGUGCCUGUUGCACAUCGAUAUUAUUGGUCUUGAUUCUUAAGGUGGCUUGGCUAAACUUUCAACGGUUAAACUCUAUUUAAUAAAUAGAUAACAUAACAUUUCGCUAAUGAUCUUGCAUUCUUGACUAAAUAUUUUCAGGCAACUUUAUUUGAAGUUUUUGUGGGCACUGAUUUGCAGAGUGCUCGUGACCAACAGAUAAAAUGGCCCAAUCCAUAUUGCAAAUUUGAAAGUCUUCCAACACCAUCCAAAACCAAGGAAUUUCUAUUUGCAAGUCUAAUUAGGUAGAAAACCUUUCUGAAAAGUUUAAGAGCCAUUGUUAAUUUCAAUUGACCCAUUCCAAUCCCCAGCAACGUAAACCUGCAAAAGGAAAGGCGCAUAAAACUUG
Long non-coding RNA from Daphnia pulex (common water flea), 395 nucleotides. RefSeq lists it as uncharacterized. The transcript has 3 exons. The record is from RefSeq and is a predicted model, not a curated record. Lineage: Eukaryota; Metazoa; Arthropoda; Branchiopoda; Diplostraca; Daphniidae.